AAACCUAUAGAUUCCUUCAGGGUAUGAUAAGGCCGGUAAAAAGUGGCGAACGAGAAGAGUCAGCGCGUGGGUAAUCAUACCCUGUAAGUGGGGGAUAACCCUCCGAAAGGAGGGGCUAAUACCGCAUAACAUCUACCCUUCAUAAGAAGGAGCGAUUAAAGAUGGCCUCUUUAUAUGCUAUCACUUCAGGAAGAGUCCGCGUCCUAUUAGUUAGUUGGUAGGGUAAUGGCCUACCAAAACCACAAAGGGUAGCCGGUCUGAGAGGAUGGUCAGCCACACUGGGACUGAGACACUGCCCAGGCUGCUACGGGAGGCAGC
Molecule: ribosomal RNA, 318 nt
Filed under: uncultured bacterium
Lineage: Bacteria
Description: bacterial SSU rRNA
Rfam family: Bacterial small subunit ribosomal RNA
Source: RNAcentral